GAAUGUGAGGGUGAUCUGGCUGUGACAUCUGUCAUCCUAUUGAUUGCCAGGGUUGAUUCCACUGAUCUGGCUGGCUAAGCAAGUGUCCCCUUCCUCUCUCCAGAAGCUCCUUCCCAGACAGAGGAGGACCAAUCUUUGGUCAAGGGUAUGGGGGUAUAUGUGCUACCCUGCUAGAACCUUCAAACAGGCUCUCAAGGUCCAUGGGGUAAUCCAGAGUUCUCAGGUCUGGCACCUCUUCCUUUAGGCCCUCCCUU
RNAcentral lists this small nuclear RNA (254 nucleotides) under Nannospalax galili (Upper Galilee mountains blind mole rat). RNAcentral's name for it is "7SK RNA (ENSNGAG00000002361.1)". It matches the Rfam family "7SK RNA". From Rfam's summary of the family: 7SK was discovered as an abundant small nuclear RNA in the mid-70s but a possible function has only recently been suggested. Two independent studies have found that 7SK RNA binds the CDK9/cyclin T complex (known as elongation factor P-TEFb). Lineage: Eukaryota; Metazoa; Chordata; Mammalia; Rodentia; Spalacidae. The record is from RNAcentral.